AUUCGGCAGACGAGUGCCAAAUAGGAUGAAAUGCUCGUCCUGGAU
Molecule: non-coding RNA, 45 nt
Filed under: Schistosoma curassoni
Lineage: Eukaryota; Metazoa; Platyhelminthes; Trematoda; Strigeidida; Schistosomatidae
Source: RNAcentral